This 420-nucleotide ribosomal RNA is filed under the name Fusobacteriota bacterium. RNAcentral describes it as "Fusobacteria bacterium partial 16S ribosomal RNA". It matches the Rfam family "Bacterial small subunit ribosomal RNA", at positions 355 to 776 of the family's 1533-position model. The record is from RNAcentral. Lineage: Bacteria; Fusobacteriati; Fusobacteriota.
UGGGGGAUAUUGCACAAUGGGCGAAAGCCUGAUGCAGCGACGCCGCGUGGGGGAUGAAGGCCUUCGGGUUGUAAACUUCUUUUGCUCUGAACAAGGCAUGCCUUUGGGGUGUGUUGAGUGUAGGGGUUGAUUAGCGCCGGCUAACUACGUGCCAGCAGCCGCGGUAAUACGUAGGGCGCGAGCGUUGUCCGGAAUUAUUGGGCGUAAAGGGCUUGUAGGUGGCUGGUUGCGUCUGUCGUGAAAGCUCAUGGCUUAACUGUGGGUUUGCGGUGGGUACGGGCUGGCUUGAGUGCAGUAGGGGAGGCUAGAAUUCCUGGUGUGGCGGUGGAAUGCGCAGAUAUCAGGAAGAAUACCGGUGGCGAAGGCGGGUCUCUGGGCUGUUACUGACGCUGAGGAGCGAAAGCGUGGGGAGCGAACAGG